GAGAACUCAGCCUUGGGGGUGGUGACCUGGGAGUCCCUGGGUUGCUAGUUAGUGGUCAGAACUGGGCCUGAUGGACAAACUCAGGCAAGGUAGGGGUUAGGUGGGGACCAAAGCAGGCCAGGCUGAUGGUGGAGUGCGCAGGGCCAGGCACCCUCCCUGGAGGCAUCAGCCUGGGCUUGCUUUACUACUCUGGAAGGGAACCCAAGCCCCAGGACGCUAAAUCUUAUGCCAAUGUUCAAAUAUAACCAUUUCUUUCUUUUUUUUUUUUUUUUUUUUGAGACGGAGUCUCUCUUUGGAGUGCAGUGGCGCCAUCUUGGCCCCCUGAAACCUCCGACUCCCUGGUCCAAGCGAUUCUCCUGCUUCAGCCUCCCGCGUAGCUGGGAUUACAGGCAUGCGCCACCGUGGCCAGCUAAUUUUUGUAUUUUCACUAGAGACAGGGUUUCACCAUGUUGACCAGGAUGGUCUCGAUCUGCUGACCUUGUGAUCCGCCCGCCUCGGUCUCCCAAAGUGUUGUUGGGAUUACAGGCAUGAGCCACCACGCCGGACCAAAUAUAACCAUUUCUAAAAGCAUUCCUCAGCGCUUGGAACUUGCGAGCUGAUGGCUUUUGGUGGAGCCCAGGAGGGGCGCUGUGGGGCACAGACGUGUGCGGGGCCGGCAGCUGCGGAGAGAGCAGCGCACCCCAGCCUUCAAUUCCCCGCCGAAGAUGGGACUCUGCCCAGAGCCGAGGCCCCUGGCUGCUGCCCCGCUCCCUUGCGGCCGCAGUGACACUCAGAGCCAGAUUCCUCAGACAAUCUUCACUCCUCCGUGGUGGCUGCCUUGGGAGGCGUUGCGGGGUGAAGGAAGUCGCAGCUGGUCCCAAGCAGUGGGGAGGGCAGGACAGGGAGUAA
RNAcentral lists this long non-coding RNA (888 nucleotides) under Homo sapiens (human). RNAcentral's name for it is "HSALNT0337999". Lineage: Eukaryota; Metazoa; Chordata; Mammalia; Primates; Hominidae. The record is from RNAcentral.